This 583-nucleotide ribosomal RNA is filed under the name uncultured organism. RNAcentral's name for it is "eukaryotic LSU rRNA". The stretch from base 208 to 361 matches the Rfam family "5.8S ribosomal RNA". The record is from RNAcentral.
UCACUAGUGAUUUCCGUAGGUGAACCUGCGGAGGGAUCAUUACACAAAUAUGAAGGCGGGCUGGAACCUCUCGGGGUUACAGCCUUGCUGAAUUAUUCACCCUUGUCUUUUGCGUACUUCUUGUUUCCUUGGUGGGUUCGCCCACCACUAGGACAAACAUAAACCUUUUGUAAUUGCAAUCAGCGUCAGUAACAAAUUAAUAAUUACAACUUUCAACAACGGAUCUCUUGGUUCUGGCAUCGAUGAAGAACGCAGCGAAAUGCGAUAAGUAGUGUGAAUUGCAGAAUUCAGUGAAUCAUCGAAUCUUUGAACGCACAUUGCGCCCUUUGGUAUUCCAAAGGGCAUGCCUGUUCGAGCGUCAUUUGUACCCUCAAGCUUUGCUUGGUGUUGGGCGUCUUGUCUCUAGCUUUGCUGGAGACUCGCCUUAAAGUAAUUGGCAGCCGGCCUACUGGUUUCGGAGCGCAGCACAAGUCGCACUCUCUAUCAGCAAAGGUCUAGCAUCCAUUAAGCCUUUUUUUCAACUUUUGACCUCGGAUCAGGUAGGGAUACCCGCUGAACUUAAGCAUAUCAAUAAGCGGAGGAA